UUGACCCAAAGACAACUUGCUUACAGGAAUGCCUUAUCACCACCUUCCAGGAAGCCUACUUUGUUUCAGAAAGUUUUGAAGAAGCCAAAGAAAAGAUGAGGUACAGAUUGGCAAUAUGGCCCGUACAAGCACUGUUUUGGGUGCUGUUGUUCCAGAAACACAACUGAUGUCUCCUGGGGGUGGUAAGACAACAGGAAAAGUGCAAAAGAAAUAAAGCAUCAGGUUGAUGAUUAAGGGAUUUCACUGGUAAUACCAAUCCAGAAGCAGUUGCUGUAUACAAUGAUGGAAUGGCCUACUGAAGACUCAUUUAUGACAGCAUUGCUCACUCUUUGGGUCCAUGCUGCUUUUAUGAACUGUAACACUUGCCGUGAAGAUCUGCAGCUUCACUCCUGAGCCCAGCGAGACCACGAGCCCACCGGGAGGAACGCACAACUCCAGACGCGCUGCCUUAAGAGCUGUAACACUCACAGCGAAGGUCUGCAGCUUCACUCCUGAGCCCAGCGAGACCACGAGGCCACCAGGAGGAACGAACAACUCCAGACGCGCUGCCUUAAGAGCUGUAACACUCACCGCAAAUGUCUGCAGCUUCACUCCUGAGCCAGCGAGACCACGAACCCACCAGAAGGAAGAAACUCCAAACACAUCUGAACAUCAGAAGGGGCAGACUCCAGACGCGCCACCUUAAGAGCUGUUAUAACACUCACCGCGAGGGUCCGCGGCUUCAUUCUUCAAGUCAGUGAGACCAAGAACCCACCAAUUCCGGACACAAUUUCACUGAAGAA
This 782-nucleotide small RNA is filed under the name Pan troglodytes (chimpanzee). RNAcentral's name for it is "processed transcript". Lineage: Eukaryota; Metazoa; Chordata; Mammalia; Primates; Hominidae. The record is from RNAcentral.